GACAAUUUAGUACAAGAUUGUCUAAUCAGGAAAGGCAAAGUGUUUGAACCUGGGAGUUUUACUCUAAUUCUGACAGAAAGAUCUCCACUAAUAGAAAUUAGUUGCGUCUCCUCUCAGUAAUAGAACAUAUUUACUGCCACCUCUUUUGAGAUAAUGAAAUGCUGCUUGAAUUACCCUCUCUCCCAGAUAAAUCUGAGCAGAAAGCAAACUCUCUAAGUUUCCUAUCAUUCUACAGAGCCUGACGCCGUAUCUAGUAAUGGCUAGGGAAGGGAUACAGGAAGGAAGCUAUUUAGGAUUUAUAGCACCACUUACUUCUAUGGGCAAAACCUUAGUCAUCAAAAGCAAGAAGACAGAGUUCUUGAGCCCUCCAGGACUUGGCUGUGACUCAGCAAGGAAGCCACAGAGAAACCUCCCUGUGUACACCUGUCAGAGAAGAGGCCAGUCGGAGGCAGUGGGAAGGUCCAAGGAUGAGGUUAUUUGCAAACCGUCCUGAAUGGAGAAAGCUCUCUGUUCCUUUGCCCACUCCCCCAUCCUCCCCACCUCAACUCUGGGAAAGAAGAGUUCUCCUCCUGGUCCUGGAGUCCUUCCUGUCCUCUUGCUGUGGACCCCUUUUCUCCAUGACAGACAUGCAUAGCUCUCUCCUAACAAAAAUGAAAUUGUCUGAUGGAAGUUGUCACCCCUUCAAGACAACCAUACUGCUGUCCUUCCCCUCACACUGCACAGAGAGCAAGGCCCAUCAGGAUAAGCUCGGGCUGGAGCCAGGUUCAAAUCUUCACUUUCUCUUCAGCUGUGUGUAUCUGGGGAGUGAUUUACCCUCUCUCCCCUCAGCUAAAACAGCAACAAAAAACAGUGAUAAUAAUGCCUGCAAGUGUGAUGAGGCUGAAAUGAGGUCAUGCAUUUCAGUGCCCAGCAAGAGGCCCGGGAUACGGAGGUAACCAAGGUUCCUCCUUUCAUGGCCAAAUUUGUUGGAAAUGUGGUUGGAACCUGCCUCCUCUCCUCCAUUACUCUCACCUUGCUGUUCAAGCUCUGGAGGGACUUCCAGUUCAUUGACCUUCUGCCCAUGUAACAAGGAUAAACACCGCCUCAGCCUAGAAAUCUUGCCUGCACUGGUUUCCAUGACACAGCAUUAUCUCGUGCAGUUUACACAGCAGCUCACAGAAUUCCUCCUCUGAUUUAGAGGCAAAGUAGACAGCCAGUGCUCUGCAUUCAGUGCAGAAGUCUGUGCUUCCUCAGAGCCCCUGCAGCCUUGGGGUUUGAUCCCUAGAACUCUGAAAAGCCUUAUU
Molecule: long non-coding RNA, 1283 nt
Filed under: Equus caballus (horse)
Lineage: Eukaryota; Metazoa; Chordata; Mammalia; Perissodactyla; Equidae
Description: lncRNA (ENSECAG00000058149.1)
Source: RNAcentral